Molecule: ribosomal RNA, 224 nt
Filed under: uncultured bacterium
Lineage: Bacteria
Description: partial 16S ribosomal RNA
Rfam family: Bacterial small subunit ribosomal RNA
Source: RNAcentral
UGAGUAAUACAUCGGAACGUGUCUUCUAGUGGGGGAUAACUGCCCGAAAGGGCAGCUAAUACCGCAUGAGACCUGAGGGUGAAAGCGGGGGAUCGCAAGACCUCGCGCUGGAAGAGCGGCCGAUGUCCGAUUAGCUAGUUGGUGAGGUAAAGGCUCACCAAGGCGACGAUCGGUAGCCGGACUGAGAGGUUGAACGGCCACAUUGGGACUGAGACACGGCCCAG